AGUCCUUGUACUCCUUCAAUAGCUUCUUCAAUUCUUCCUGUUGCUGAGCCAACAGCUUAGAACUUAUAAACAUCGGCCUGUUGUCUACAUAAGACCCCAGGUUUACUUCUAUCAACAAAUCAUGGGUCUCCAGCUUUUUCUCGCCGACUUUAAUAGGCGAUUCUUCCAGCUUCAUUUCUGCUGUUUGCCUAUUCAUUUGACCUUCUUCUUCGGCUUUAUGACACGAAUCUUUCAUAACUUCUUCGGCCUUUUU
This 253-nucleotide long non-coding RNA is filed under the name Ananas comosus (pineapple). RNAcentral's name for it is "long non-coding RNA (ACOM_LNC031576)". Lineage: Eukaryota; Viridiplantae; Streptophyta; Magnoliopsida; Poales; Bromeliaceae. The record is from RNAcentral.